Transfer RNA from Reinekea sp., 73 nucleotides. It matches the Rfam family "tRNA". Rfam says of the family: Transfer RNA (tRNA) molecules are approximately 80 nucleotides in length. Their secondary structure includes four short double-helical elements and three loops (D, anti-codon, and T loops). The record is from Rfam. NCBI's taxonomy places the organism in Bacteria, Pseudomonadati, Pseudomonadota, Gammaproteobacteria, Oceanospirillales, Saccharospirillaceae.
GUGGGCGUAGCUCAGUUGGUAGAGCCCCGGAUUGUGAUUCCGGUGGUCGUGGGUUCGAUCCCCAUCGUCCACC